AUGGAGACGCCAAACAGCCUCGCGUCCGUCUCCGGCCCGCCGUCGACGGCGAGGCCGGCGGCCGUGGCCAGCGCCGAGCACGAUGGCAUCAGGUCCAGUAUCCCCGCGGGGAGCGGCGGCGGAGGGGCCAGGGCCGACUCGCCCGAGCAGUUCACCACGGACGACAGCGACCCGGGGCCGCCGUCCGGCUGCUGGCUCGAGGCGAACUUGGACAUGAGGCUCACGAUGUUGUUGCACAGCUUCUUCAUCUGCCCCAGCUCGCGGGUCAACCGCGCGUUAUCCCGCCGCAGCCGGUCGUUCUCCUCGCCCAUAUCACCGGACGAGGAGCCGGCGGCGGCGCCGCCCAGGCCGGAGCCUGAGCCGGACGGUGCGGCCGGCGGGAGCUCCUCCGCGGAUCCUGAGUUGGACGACAGGACCUGCUCCUCGGAGGAGAGCUGCGGCUCCGGCGAGCCGGAGCGCGUAACCGGCAACGCCAUCGGGAUCGCCGCGGUGGCAACCGUCACCGCCCCAGCCGCGGCGGCGGCAGCGGCAGCCGCAAGCCCCGCCGAUUGGACCACCUUCCGGCGGUGUAUGUCGCAGAGCAGGCGCUUCUCGCCUCGCCGGAAGCAGUCGUUGGCGAACUCCCACCGGUCCGGCACGAUCUUCCUAAAUCCCUAUACGCCACAGCAAGCAAAAUCAGAGGAUCAACAACAUGGGCAUUCCACGCCAAAAAUCCAGAAAGGCCAAAUCCCAACCCCGAGCCCGAGGAAUCAACCAACCGAACCCAUCGAGCGCACGUACGUAGGUGUUGAGCUGCCGCACGAAGCUAGAGAAGUUGUUGUGCUUGAAGUACUUGGGGAGCAGGUCCCGGGCGAACUCCGCCGGCCGCCACACCACGAACGUCGACCCGUCCUCGCCCCACGAGAUCACGUCGUCCACCGCCGGGUCCUCGACGAGCUGGUACGUCUUGGUCAGGAACGGCGUCGGCAGCGACCUCUGCCCCGCCGCGUCCACCGACGCCACCAGCCCCGGCAUAGGCGCCGGGGGAGGAGGCUCCGCCCCAGCCCUGUCCGCUGCCGCCGCCGCAGCGCCAUGCUCGGCCGCCAUCACGCCGGCGCCUCCUCUACCCCUCCCGGCCGGAUCUGGCCCGGGGAACCCCGUAGUAGCUUCCAGAUGCGGUUGAGGCCACCUCACCAAGGAAAGGAACGUACGGAAGAAGCCUUCUGGAAGCUUCGCCCGCGGGAUUACGAGACUUAUACCCAACGGGAGGAGGAGAACGGCGAUAAAAAUAAGAGAAAUGAAAAAAUGGAGAGAAAGGCGAGGGGCAAAAGAAAACGCACUUUGAUAAAAAUAAAUUUUCUCGACCGCGACACGACGCACACCACUCGUACCGAGAAAGCCGCGGCGGGGUGGACCCGGCCCGCAUGGAUAUCUUCCGCCGCGCGGCCGCAUCCGGCCGUUGGAUGGGCAUCUGGUGGCGGCAGCGGACGGCCCGGAUGCCAUUCGGGCGAGAUUUGGUUCUAUACGGGGUGGCCCGCGGCAUGGGUGCGGUGGGGCCGGGGUGUUAGGAAAGAGCGAGAAACUUCGAUGGCUUGUCGCCCUUCCGUUUUCUGGAAGGUUCAGGUCCGCGCGGGCUUGCGCCAGGCUGGACGGGAGCACGUGUCGACCAUCCCGCCGGCGGUAUGGAUAAGAUUUUGUUUUGCGAGGGGGACCUGGAUUUAUGCGUCGGAUGCUUGGUAUUUUUGCAUUUUUUUUGGUCACCCUACUACUGUAUUCCAAGAAGGUUCUCUAAGCUUCGAUAUAAAUUGA
RNAcentral lists this ribosomal RNA (1788 nucleotides) under Triticum aestivum (bread wheat). RNAcentral describes it as "partial small subunit ribosomal RNA". The record is from RNAcentral. Lineage: Eukaryota; Viridiplantae; Streptophyta; Magnoliopsida; Poales; Poaceae.